CCUACGGGGUGCUGCAGUGGGGAAUAUUGCACAAUGGGGGGAACCCUGAUGCAGCGACGCCGCGUGGGUGAGGAAGUACUUCGGUAUGUAAAGCCCUAUCAGCAGGGAAGAAAAUGACGGUACCUGACUAAGAAGCCCCGGCUAACUACGUGCCAGCAGCCGCGGUAAUACGUAGGGGGCAAGCGUUAUCCGGAUUUACUGGGUGUAAAGGGAGCGUAGACGGCGUGCCAAGUCUGAUGUGAAAGGACGGGGCUCAACCCCGGGACUGCAGUGGAAACUGGCAGGCUGGAGUGCAGGAGGGGCAAGCGGAAUUCCUAGUGUAGCGGUGAAAUGCGUAGAUAUUAGGAGGAACACCGGUGGCGAAGGCGGCUUGCUGGACGGUAACUGACGUUGAGGCUCGAAAGCGUGGGGAGCAAACAGGAUUAGAUACCCGAGUAGUC
This 440-nucleotide ribosomal RNA is filed under the name uncultured bacterium. RNAcentral describes it as "partial 16S ribosomal RNA". It matches the Rfam family "Bacterial small subunit ribosomal RNA", at positions 338 to 795 of the family's 1533-position model. The record is from RNAcentral.